CCCACUACCACGCGCGGUGCGGCCCGACCAACCCACCCCCACCGGCGUCGCCCCUCCCAACCUUCACCGUCGCCGAUGCUGCCCCUCCCAACCUUCACCGCGCCCGGCGCCGCCCCUCCCAAACUUCACCGCCGCCUGCAUCCCUCCGGCGCUGCCCCUCCCAACCUGCAGCGCCGCCUGCAUCCCGCGAAAGCCCCGGCCCCCGGAGAGCCGCGCCCCGAACUUCCGGUCGAAUCUGACCGGAUCCCGGCGAUGUCCUCCGCCCUGGCGACGCGAGCGCUCCCUUUCCUGGCUCCACGCAUCCCCGUGCCAUCCCCUUCCCUGGAUCCUUGACGAGCUCCGACGCCGCGUCAAGGAAGGCCGAGGUCGUCGCCUCAACCGCCACCCCUCCCUCUCCCGCAUCAAAAAGCCCCAGCGACGCGCGCCGCCGCGACGCCGCCCACCAGCCAGAUCAUGUGCCGCCGCCCACCACUAGGACCUCACGCCGCCGCCCACCACCACCGGGAUGUCCCCCUCUGCGCGCGGAUCCGGUCUUGCCCGAGCUCCCCCCGGGAUGGAGGAACACAUGGCAGAGGCACCACCACCGGGAGGAGCAGAACAAGGUGCGCCGGCACCAGGAGCAGCUCACCGCGCCUCACCUGGACACCUCCUCCCUUCUCUUUCCAACAGAGCGUCCCGCAGCCACGCACCCCACCGUCGGCGCCGCUCCUCACCUCUGGCGUCGCCAAGAGCCUACACCACCUCGGGCCUUCUCCCACACAGCCAGUGGCGGCUUCCUCUUCCUCCAGCUGCUCGCGCCCCUCCGCGGAGGACUCUCGCUAUCGCCUUUGCAACCCCUGCCUCAGCAUCCAUCGUAGGUGACCUUCUCUGGCUUGUCUGAUCGACCUUCCCAUCGUCUCUUACUUGAACAUCUGAAUUGUUGCUGCUCCUCUGUGUAAAUCUGCUGCUAGAUGAAGACCAUGUAAAUCUGAACGUUCUAAAUCCGCUACACUACUAUGGUUGCUCUGUGUUGUGCCCUUUUGCUGGGUGAAGCUGUUGUUAUUUGGUAGCUUUGCCAUAGGCUGCUACAGCACUUGGAGCUUGGAAUCGAUUUGUUCAUUAGGUGUGUACUUGGACUGUCGAUAGGUAGCUCUGAUGUUUGUUUCUACAAUAUUGUUUGCAAUUCAGUAAUGUUGGUAUGAAUGCUUCUCUGUUCUUCGUCUUAUAGUAUGUUAAAUAAACAAUUGGGUCUGCAUAAAAAAAGAGUCCCGUUCUAAUUUUGAUUAGCUGUUCAUUUGAUAUGUUGUUAAAAAAGAAUUAUGGAGCAGUUAAACCAGAGCAUCAUCACCAACAGAGCAGUUAAAACAUCCGCUCAUGGAUACAACUAUAGAAGGAGCAGGUGAAUUACUUCUUGUUAGUUAGAACUGAUGCCUUAUUCUUCAGCCUGUUUUCAUCUUGAACUACUGCGUACUUGCUAUUAGAGGAGUGAAACCAGAGCAUGUGGCUGUUUGAUCAGCAGUUAAUUCUUCAUGGGCAUAUGCUCAGUCACUAGCCAGUAGUAGUCCAGUUAUGUUUUCUAAAUCAUAUACAACGUUUUGUCUUAUUUCCCUCACCACUUUCAGGUAAAAAAAGAGAGUUUUUGAUGGCUCAAUCAAAAAUAUGCACUUGCACUAGAAAUACAUGGACUAGUGAUUUGUGGAACUUGAGCUACAGAGAAUUGAGCCCCCACACGCCGCCACCCCAUCCGCCGCUGUGACAAGCAACCCUGGGAUUGCCACGACCUCGGCCAUUACAUACAGUCUAGAAGUGUUCAUUCUAUGGCUAGUAACCUUUUGAUGCCACUGUAUACCACAAUACAUAGGACAGGCUGUUCACAUUAUCACCCCUCGAAAAGCUCCUAACCUAGUUCAGUUGUGUAAAUUCGAUGUCAACCAGGUGCUUGAUAAUUGUUGAACUAGUGUUAUACUUAGUUGAAUUAUAAUAUGUGGGCUCUGCGCUGCUGCCCAACUGCCACACUAGAUUCUGUGUUGAGAGAGUAAAAAGUUAAUUCUUGGUGUUUUGUA
Molecule: RNA transcript, 2042 nt
Organism: Triticum aestivum (bread wheat)
Lineage: Eukaryota; Viridiplantae; Streptophyta; Magnoliopsida; Poales; Poaceae
Exons: 3
Source: RefSeq, a predicted model, not a curated record